RNAcentral lists this ribosomal RNA (497 nucleotides) under uncultured bacterium. RNAcentral's name for it is "partial 16S ribosomal RNA". It matches the Rfam family "Bacterial small subunit ribosomal RNA", at positions 28 to 507 of the family's 1533-position model. The record is from RNAcentral.
GACGAACGCUGGCGGCGUGCCUAAUACAUGCAAGUCGAGCGCUGAAGGCUGGUACUUGUACCAACUGGGUGAGCAGCGCACGGGUGUGUAACGCGUGGGGACUCUGCCUUUGAGCGGGGGACAACAUUGGGAAACGAAUGCUAAUACCGCAUAAAAACUUUAAACACAAGUUUUAAGUGUGAAAGAUGCAAUUGCAUCACGCAAAGACGAUCCCGCGUUGUAUUAGCUAGUUGGUGAGGUAAAGGCGCACCAAGGCGAGGAUACAUAGCCGACCUGAGCGGGUGGUCAGCCGCAUUGGGACGGUGACCCGCCCCAAACUCCUACGGGAGGCAGCCGUAGGGAAACUUCAGCCAUGGGCGGAAGACUGACCGAGAUGCGCCGAGUCAGUGAACAGGGUUGUCGGGUCGUAAAACUCGGUUGGUGGGGAAGAACGUUGGUGAGAGUGGAAAGCUCAUCAAGUGACGGUAACUACCCAGAAAGGGACGGCUAACUACGUG